RNAcentral lists this ribosomal RNA (253 nucleotides) under uncultured bacterium. RNAcentral's name for it is "partial 16S ribosomal RNA". It matches the Rfam family "Bacterial small subunit ribosomal RNA", at positions 524 to 776 of the family's 1533-position model. The record is from RNAcentral.
UACAGAGGGUGCAAACGUUGUUCGGAUUUACUGGGCGUAAAGCGCGUGUAGGCGGCUUUGCAAGUCGGAUGUGAAAUCCCACGGCUCAACCGUGGAAGUGCAUCCGAAACUGCAUCGCUCGAGUCUCGGAGAGGAAGGUGGAAUGCUUGGUGUAGAGGUGAAAUUCGUAGAUAUCAAGCAGAACACCUGCGGCGAAGGUGGCCUUCUGGACGAUGACUGACGCUGAGACGCGAAAGCGUGGGGAGCAAACAGG